AUUGAACGCUGGCGGCAUGCCUUACACAUGCAAGUCGAACGGCAGCGGGCCCUUCGGGGUGCCGGCGAGUGGCGAACGGGUGAGUAAUGCAUCGGAACGUACCCGGGAGAGGGGGAUAACCGGCCGAAAGGCUGGCUAAUACCGCAUGAACUCGGAAGAGCAAAGCGGGGGACCUUCGGGCCUCGCGCUCUCGGAGCGGCCGAUGUCCGAUUAGGCUAGUUGGUGGGGUAAAGGCCCACCAAGGCGACGAUCGGUAGCGGGUCUGAGAGGACGAUCCACCACACUGGGACUGAGACACGGCCCAGACUCCUACGGGAGGCAGCAGUGGGGAAUCUUGGACAAUGGGCGCAAGCCUGAUCCAGCAAUGCCGCGUGGGUGAAGAAGGCCUUCGGGUUGUAAAGCCCUUUCGGCGGGGAAGAAAUCGGUCAGGCGAAUAGUCUGGCCGGAUGACGGUACCCGCAGAAGAAGCACCGGCUAACUACGUG
This 485-nucleotide ribosomal RNA is filed under the name uncultured bacterium. Its description in RNAcentral is "partial 16S ribosomal RNA". It matches the Rfam family "Bacterial small subunit ribosomal RNA", at positions 28 to 507 of the family's 1533-position model. The record is from RNAcentral.